This 971-nucleotide ribosomal RNA is filed under the name Leptolyngbya boryana FG4_Rupite. RNAcentral describes it as "bacterial SSU rRNA". It matches the Rfam family "Bacterial small subunit ribosomal RNA", at positions 495 to 1464 of the family's 1533-position model. Lineage: Bacteria; Bacillati; Cyanobacteriota; Cyanophyceae; Leptolyngbyales; Leptolyngbyaceae. The record is from RNAcentral.
GGCUAACUCCGUGCCAGCAGCCGCGGUAAUACGGGGGAUGCAAGCGUUAUCCGGAAUUAUUGGGCGUAAAGCGUCCGUAGGUGGCUUAUCAAGUCUGUUGUCAAAGCGUGCGGCUUAACCGCAUACGGGCGAUGGAAACUGAUGAGCUAGAGUGCGAUAGGGGUCAGGGGAAUUCCCGGUGUAGCGGUGAAAUGCGUAGAUAUCGGGAAGAACACCAGUGGCGAAAGCGCCUGACUGGGUCUGCACUGACACUGAGGGACGAAAGCUAGGGGAGCGAAAGGGAUUAGAUACCCCUGUAGUCCUAGCUGUAAACGAUGACAACUAGGUGUGGUUCGUAUCGACCCGAGCCGUGCCGUAGCCAACGCGUUAAGUUGUCCGCCUGGGGAGUACGCACGCAAGUGUGAAACUCAAAGGAAUUGACGGGGGCCCGCACAAGCGGUGGAGUAUGUGGUUUAAUUCGAUGCAACGCGAAGAACCUUACCAAGGCUUGACAUCCUCGGAACCCUGAUGAAAGUUAGGGGUGCCUUCGGGAGCCGAGAGACAGGUGGUGCAUGGCUGUCGUCAGCUCGUGUCGUGAGAUGUUGGGUUAAGUCCCGCAACGAGCGCAACCCACGUUUUUAGUUGCCAGCAUUCAGUUGGGCACUCUAGAGAGACUGCCGGUGACAAACCGGAGGAAGGUGUGGAUGACGUCAAGUCAGCAUGCCCCAUACGCCUUGGGCUACACACGUACUACAAUGCUUCGGACAAAGGGCAGCCAGACCGCGAGGUUGAGCCAAUCCCAUAAACCGAGGCACAGUUCAGAUUGCAGGCUGCAACUCGCCUGCAUGAAGGCGGAAUCGCUAGUAAUCGCAGGUCAGCAUACUGCGGUGAAUACGUUCCCGGGCCUUGUACACACCGCCCGUCACACCAUGGGAGUUGGUCAUGCCCGAAGUCGUUACUCCAACCGUUCGCGGAGGAGGACGCCGAAGGUG